AUUGAACGCUGGCGGCAGGCCUACACAUGCAAGUCGAGCGGUAGAGAGAAGCUUGCUUCUCUUGAGAGCGGCGGACGGGUGAGUAAUGCCUAGGAAUCUGCCUGGUAGUGGGGGAUAACGUUCGGAAACGGACGCUAAUACCGCAUACGUCCUACGGGAGAAAGCAGGGGACCUUCGGGCCUUGCGCUAUCAGAUGAGCCUAGGUCGGAUUAGCUAGUUGGUGGGGUAAUGGCUCACCAAGGCGACGAUCCGUAACUGGUCUGAGAGGAUGAUCAGUCACACUGGAACUGAGACACGGUCCAGACUCCUACGGGAGGCAGCAGUGGGGAAUAUUGGACAAUGGGCGAAAGCCUGAUCCAGCCAUGCCGCGUGUGUGAAGAAGGUCUUCGGAUUGUAAAGCACUUUAAGUUGGGAGGAAGGGCAGUAAAUUAAUACUUUGCUGUUUUGACGUUACCGACAGAAUAAGCACCGGCUAACUCUG
Molecule: ribosomal RNA, 481 nt
Filed under: uncultured bacterium
Lineage: Bacteria
Description: partial 16S ribosomal RNA
Rfam family: Bacterial small subunit ribosomal RNA
Source: RNAcentral